RNAcentral lists this transfer RNA (335 nucleotides) under Arcicella rosea. Its description in RNAcentral is "tRNA-Leu". The stretch from base 60 to 271 matches the Rfam family "Group I catalytic intron". Rfam says of the family: Group I catalytic introns are large self-splicing ribozymes. They catalyse their own excision from mRNA, tRNA and rRNA precursors in a wide range of organisms. The core secondary structure consists of 9 paired regions (P1-P9). The record is from RNAcentral. Lineage: Bacteria; Pseudomonadati; Bacteroidota; Cytophagia; Cytophagales; Flectobacillaceae.
CGCAGGAUGGAGCAGUAGGUAGCUCGUUGGGCUCAAGUUAUUGUUAAUUGAGAAUUUUGAAAAUUACUUUAUCAAAGUUUGUACAAUCAAUUUGCAUGAGGGCUGCGUAGAAAGAAAUUUUUACGUGAAAGUUUGUCAAAUUCGGGGAACCCUUUAAGUAUGGCAAUCCCGAGCCAAGCCUUAGAAAUAAGGAAGGUGUAGAGACUGAAUGGCAGAUACCUUAACGACUUAGGUCGAAGGUAAAGAGACAGUCCAGACCACAAACCAGUAGGGUAGCGAAAGCUAUAGUGGUAAGCAUAACCCAAAGGUCACAGGUUCGAGUCCUGUUCCUGCUA